Molecule: ribosomal RNA, 463 nt
Filed under: uncultured bacterium
Lineage: Bacteria
Description: SSU rRNA
Rfam family: Bacterial small subunit ribosomal RNA
Source: RNAcentral
AGAGCGAACGCUGGCGGCAGGCCUAAUACAUGCAAGUCGAACGGACCCUUCGGGGUUAGUGGCGGACGGGUGAGUAACACGUGGGAACGUGCCCUUUGGUUCGGAACAACUCAGGGAAACUUGAGCUAAUACCGAAUGUGCCCCCAUCCUUAAACAAGAUGGGCGGGAAAGAUUUAUCGCCAUUGGAGCGGCCCGCGUCUGAUUGGCUAGUUGGUGAGGUAAAGGCUCACCAAGGCGACGAUCAGUAGCUGGUCUGAGAGGAUGAUCAGCCACACUGGGACUGAGACACGGCCCAGACUCCUACGGGAGGCAGCAGUCGGGAAUUUUGCUCAAUGGACGAAAGUCUGAAGCAGCAACGCCGCGUGAGGGAUGAAGGCCUUCGGGUUGUAAACCUUCUUUUAUCAGGGACGAUAAUGACGGUACCUGAUGAAUAAGUCACGGCUAACUACGUGCCAGCAGCCGC